UGAAUAUUCUAUAUAUUUCUGGAAUAUCCCUCAAAAAUUUAUUAUGGAAUUGCAGAAUCAGAUUGGCUUGGGUUGGGAGGGACAUCAAGGAUCAUCAAGCUCCAAUCCCCUUGCCUGUGGCAGGGCUGCCAACUUCCAUAUAUAAUGCUAGACCAGGCUGCCCCUGUGUUACACAAAACCCUAAUGAAGUCAUAGUAGAGGGCCCAGUGAGCACAGAGAGUGCUCAGCUGGGGACAUGGACUACCUGGUGACAUCACAGGCACUGUGCUUAGGGCCCUGGCUGCCACCAGUGAGUGCUGUGCAGGAGUGUGGACAUGCUGUGUCAGCCCUUGUCCCAGCUGGUAGUGAUAGUGGUGGUGGCUGAUGGGCGCUGCACACUAUUACUGACAGUGUUGCUCAGCCAUUGGGUUGGUGUGUUAGUUGGAAGGGAGGACUGCAGCUGUGUCGGGGUAAACCAGAACUGUAGGUUUGUCAAACAUGUGAAUCUUAACCAGUGCAUCCAUCGCAGCUGCAGCAAGAGGAGAUGAUGAAGGGAGUCUUUUUCAUGUCAGGAACACAAAAUGUGAGCUUCAAGGGUUCCUGUUCAAGAGGACAUUUUGUGGAUCCAAGCAGUCCACGAGUGCAGCUGUCUUGUUUCCAAGAGCAGGGAAUUCCUUUGGAGACAACCCAAGCUUGCUCUAAGAAGUUCCCCAUGUCUCAGCAAGGAGACGACUGCUACUUCUAUUUCUACUCUAUCUGUUUUAAGAAGCAGUGCAGUGAGAUUCCCUGCUAUUGGGAGAAUCAGCCAGGAGGCUGUCAGAAAGCCCACUGCGCUUUUCUUCACUUGAAGGAGCACGGUGGGAACAGACUGACCAUACCACCAAGCAAAAAAGCUGACGCAAGUGGCCUUCCUCUGAAGAGCGGCCUUACAGAAAGUCUGGGGAACCAGACAAAGGUUGAGAAGGCAUCAGGGAGAGUUGACAUCCCAACUUCCUCCCAUGGCCUGUCUGGACGAAAAUGCAAGCCAUCUGAGGAGAAGAAGGGAACAGCAGAGGAAUUGUCUCGCAAGAAAAGAAUGGGUACAAGGUGUCCAAGAGGCCUAUUGAUUGGAAAACCACCUUCCCCACAAAGCAAAGAUGGAAACAAAAAGCAGCAGAGAUGCAUCCAUCUGCUGCUGCUGAGAAAACGGAUGAACCCCCAGCUUUAAAACUACCUAUGGCGAUUCUUGCUUCAGUCCCACCUGAAUAGACCUUGGUCAGCAUUGAAGUCAUUAAACUUCCAAGCAGGUGAUGACCAUAACUUGUUCUUCAUCAGUGCAAUUUUUCCAUUAAACAUAAGUUCUUUCAUGUCUGGGGAAAAAUUGGAUGUUUGGGAUGUGUCAUGGCAUAAUCAACAAAGGAAGAGGUCAUCUGAAGUAAUUUAAAUAUUCACAGUCAAAGUAACGAGGGCGGCAAUGUGUUUCUGCUACAAAACCUGGCCCCCGUUUUCUAGACUCAAACUGCUCUAUCUGUACAGAUAAAUUUGUACUAUGAAAAAUGUACUUGCUGGUAUCUUGCACUCUAAAAGCAUCCUCAGGUUAACUGAAUCGCCAUCUCUAUGUGAGUGUGAGGUGCAGGAGGGGUUAACUACAGAUCUCAGAGCUGGUUUGCUGAAAGUGUAUCUCCAGUUAGAAAUGUACUGAUUGUUCUCUUCCUUGCUCUCCCAGGUCUGGUACUGCUUCCGAGAAGCCAGGAAGACUCUAUGGCACAGUCAGAGGUCUCAAACUCAACACCCCAUUUCUCAUAAGAAGCAGAUAAGACCCAGCAGCUGAGCUGCAUAGCUGAAGAUGAUGACAUCAAGAAGUUAAUGAUGGAAAUCACAGGAGAAGAACUGGAAGGAGAAAUAAUGUGGAGUUGAGAAGGAUAUGGCCGCAAGUUGUAUUAGAGGAGGUUUAGGUUAGACAUGAGGAAAAACUUUUUCUCUCAGAGAGUGGUCAGGCACUGGAAUGGCCUGGCAAGGGAGGUGGUGGAGUCACUGUCCCUGGCAGUGUUCAAGAGGCAUCUGGAUGAAGAGCUGCGAGGUAUGGCUUAGUAGCUUGUGGUAGCAGUGGUAAUGUGAAGAUGGUUGGACUAGAUGAUCUUAUAGGUCGUUUCCAACCCUGUGAUUCUAUGAUUCUAUGAGAUCCUUCUGGAACUGUCUGAGGUCACUGACAGUGUAACUCGAUAGUCUAAUUGUAUAU
This is a long non-coding RNA of Phasianus colchicus (ring-necked pheasant), 2197 nucleotides long. The record is from Ensembl. NCBI's taxonomy places the organism in Eukaryota, Metazoa, Chordata, Aves, Galliformes, Phasianidae.